GAAAUCCCUGAGUCUCUUGGGACAAUUAAGAGCUUCCAAGGCCUGCAGCGGGAAGCUGAGAGGCGCCCCUGGCUGUGAGGGCUGCCCAGUUCCAGUCCGGGUCCCACCCUUGUUUGGCACCCUGCCUUGCCUGUUUUGAAAGCUGGAAGCAUCUGGGUGUGGCUGGCCCCAGACACCAUGGGAGACAGGACUGUGCUCCAGGACGCCAAAGAUUAUCCAGUGUGGUGUGGCUAUUUCCUGUAACACAGGUCCAGAGUUCCCAAAGCCUCUCUUCCCCAAUACUUCGGUAAGCAAGAAAAUUAACACAGGGACACAGGGAAAGGCAGAUCCAGACUUAGAACCAGAGUAAGUACUUAUCAGUUUUGCUCACACUAGUUCCAGACAAGUUUUGGCUUACUCCGAGACAAGGAAAGCUUCUAAAAGAGAGAUUAUUUUCAAGGCCCCCUGAAAGAUCUUGACCUUGCAUUAGGUAAAAGUUAAUUCAUUUCACAAGUCAUCCAAUCUAAGCAGUAAUUGUACAAAUACUGUAACAUACUCGAAUAAUUAGACUAUUAAUACUUCUGGAGGCUAAUCCUAAAGUUGACAAAGUAAUUCUGCCCAAUUCUAGAAUGAUGAUCUUGCCCAUCAUUGAAUCUGUUUGCAAGUCUACCACAGUCUAAGAAUUUGUCCAAAAUCUGUAAUGAAGCCUUGGUAUAGAUAUAUGAUACCUCUUAAGUAUUAAGAAUAGAGGUGAGGCGAGGUGGCUCAUGCCUGUAAUCCCAGCA
This 764-nucleotide long non-coding RNA is filed under the name Aotus nancymaae (Ma's night monkey). RNAcentral's name for it is "lncRNA (ENSANAG00000038887.1)". Lineage: Eukaryota; Metazoa; Chordata; Mammalia; Primates; Aotidae. The record is from RNAcentral.